RNAcentral lists this long non-coding RNA (6158 nucleotides) under Sus scrofa (pig). RNAcentral describes it as "lncRNA (ENSSSCG00030071446.1)". Lineage: Eukaryota; Metazoa; Chordata; Mammalia; Artiodactyla; Suidae. The record is from RNAcentral.
CAGAUUCUUCUUUCAAGGCCUGGGUGAAGACCUCUGCCUCCAGGAAGCCUCCUGUGGCCAGCCAAGCCAUAACUCUUAGACCUCUGGGGAGGUGGUCCCCAUUUGCUGCCAACUCCAGCGCCAGGCUGAUGGCUGCCAGGAGCAAGAUGACAGAAGGACGGGAGAGGCUGCAUCCAGGUUUGGCUGGAGAUGUGUGAUUGAUUAGUGAUGCCUGCCAGGGUCAGGGAUGGGAGGACUGUAGUACCUCAGGUUUGCUUUCCCUGGAGAGGUCUCUGGGACAUGCAGCCAUUUAUCCUAACAUCUGUGCGUUUGUUGAUGCUAAACUUCUCUCCUUUCCUUACCCUCUGUUUGCCCAGGGGAAACAGGGGUUCCCGAUGGCAGACAUCCUGCCCGUGCUUUCUCUGUGUCCCUUGUAGUGCUAGGCACACAUGGGGACUCGACAAACCCUAGUCAGAUGGAGAGUCAGUGAGUAAAAUGCUGUCACUCUCCCUAGAGUUAUAAAAUAGGUCAUAGGACAUCAGAGGCAUCACAGAGGAGGGACCUGGAGGUCCCUGAACCUGAAGUGGAGAAGCAUUUUCUCAAGAUCCCAGAGGGAGUUGCUGUAUUGCUGAGGGGUGUUUCUCAGACCUGUGGGGCAGAGCCCAACAUCCAGCCUGGCAUCAGGGGUCCCUAGGCUGCCUCCCUGUGUCCACCGGCUCCCAUAGAGGCUCCUCUUCUUCUCCUCUGAGGCUCUGGGGGCAUCCUUAGUGCAAUAUCCUCCCACACAUGGGAGCCACACCUGUCAUUAUCCAUCCGCAUAUUACUGAUGGGAAAACGGAGGGAUCUCAGGGUUCACGGCUGGACCUGAGGGCCCCGCCCGCCCAGCAGGCUGGAGAAGCUCUGGUCCCCAGCGUAGGCUGACUCAGUUCAGGACACUUUCCAUGCAGACCUUUCUGCAGAUUGUGCGAAUUAGAAAGGCACUUACAGGUGAACAGUUCUGAGCCUGUUGUGAUCCAGAUGGAGAAAAUGAGGCCCCGAAAAGGCCAGGGGCUGACCCUGGCCACACAGCUUCCCCUAACAGAUAGGCUUCCUGACAACCAGGUCCUGAGGUGAGCCAGGCUAUGUGUCUGGGCCCUUACCAGAGCCCCUUCUGCUCAGGUCCCAAAAAGACUGCUGAGAGGGACCUGCAGGACUCCUGCUCUGGCAGCCCGCAUGGCACUAGCAUACCCUGGGCUUUCCCACCAAGUCAGAUAUUUUGACCUCCCACCCAUCCUGUGAGGGUGAGAAAAGCAAGCCCUAAGUCAGUGGAGUUCAUGCAGCAUGAGGGCCAGGGUGCGGGCCUGGGCUCAGAAGUGAUCAGCUUAGCCCCUGAUGCCUGGGACACUUGGCCUCUGAGCCUUGCCGCCUCAUCUCCCAAAUGAAGCAUGCUCAGGGCAUCUUGGCAGCUUGGUCCAGCUUCAAGUUCUUACUAUGGUGCAAAUGACUGAUAGCAGAACCUUCCCUGAAGCCAUGUUGGCAGGAAGGGGGAAGGAGUGGGGGAAGGUGGGAAUGGGAUGCUGGGGGCAGGGGUGCUGAGAUAUGGGUGGCAAUGUGGUCAGGGGAGGGGCAGGCCUGGGAGCUGGAUGCUCCCCCAGCUCCUGACCCCUCCUGGGCUGGCCUUCCUCUUCUGCUUCCUUUCCUUCCCAUCUCUCCCUCUUGCCUCUGCUGUCCUCCUGUCGCAGCUGAUAAUUCAGUCCUCCCUGCUGUGUAGGGCGCCAUAAAGAGCUGGCCUUUAGCCAGAUUUGCAUUGGUGGUUUAUUGAUUUAAUUAAGCAGGGGCUGGAAGCAGCGCCCCCCUCCAAGAUGUGAGUCUGGGCAGGGGCUGGGCUGGCCCUGCAGGGUGGCUGACAGGCACCGAAGACCCGGGGGGCUGCUGACAUCAGGGCAGUCUGAUUCAGGGACCUGUGCUUCCUGUGACCUUUGUCCCUCCAUCUCUCUUGGACGCUAUCAAAAGUGACAGUGCAAGCGGCAGUGACAGCUUAAUCAAGCCCGGACCCUCUGCCAGGGAGAUGGGGCCUCAGUGGGUAGUGGGCAGAGGGGCCUCUGGCCCCACCAGCCUGGAUCCCACCUCAGCACUACCUCCUCCUGCAGAUGCCCGCUCCGCCCCAGGAAGGCUGCUCCUUUGUCCUCCACAGUGGCACUGUAGCUCUGGAGGCCUGUGGCAUGUUCCCCGUGCCCACUCUUGCCUGGCAUCUCCAGAUGCCAUCAUGGAGCAGCCAUUUGCUGUGUCUGCAGAAGAGGCCGGAGUGACUUUAAAUGACCUCUGAGCUCCCCGCCUGGGGGACUGUGUGGCCUGCCUCCCAGCUGCCCUUUCCAGGCCUCCGUCCUUCUGGAUGUAAGUAAAGGUUGGAGUCAGCAUCGUCUGAGGUCCCUUCUAGCUUCUUGGCUGUCCUUCCUUUUGUGCCCAGGGAGCUGUUCUUAUGCCAUGGAGUGCUAGGCACCAGGCUGGGGGGUUCUCACACUUCCGGGGUCAGCCAGUCCUCACUCCAGCUUUGGAAAGUGGGCAACCUCAUCCUCACUUUAGAGAUGAGCAACUCAGAGAGGUUGAAUGACCUGCCUCAGGCCACACAGCUCUUAAGAGGCAGAGCUUGGCUUGAGCCCAGCCAGUUCUGGGAGGAGUGACAAUGUUGAUGGAGUUCCUCUAGCAUCCCCCACCAACCUACUGCUACUUGGGUUCCUGUAGUCAGUCACAAGACACCUCCCUCCUCUCCAGAGUUGGAAGAAAAGGGCUGCCUCUGGGGAAGGGGAUGGAUACUGGGGGACAGAGAUGCUGCAGGCGGACUUUGGUUCUGUCCUUUGGUGAGGAAGAUGGAGGCCCAGGGUUGCUGGUGCUGAGUUGGCCACAUCCCCCAAGGGAGCCAGGAGGCUGGGUGAGGGGGUGGGGUGGGCUGCUGCAGAGUGGCAUCUUUGCAGGAGUGGGGCUGAGAUGAGAUGGGGCAUCUUGGUGGCUCAGAGCCUGACAGAUCUGCCAGGGUGCUUGAGGCCAUUGCCCAGAUAAGAACACUGAGGCCCAAGGUCACACAGUCUGGGGGGGGGGUCUCCCUGGGAAAGUCCAGCCUGGCCCUCUGCUGACCCUCCCAUUUACAGUCCUAGCCACCUAGCGCAAGGUGGGCACCCAGCGGGUGCAGGGGGCAGGCGGGAGCAGGCACCCUCCCCACAAGCCUGUGUCAGCAGCGUCUCUCUCAUGAGUUCACAGCUGCUGGUGAACAUCUGCUCUGUCUUCCACCCUGGCACCACCUGCCGUCCCGCCCGCUCCGCCUCUCUCAGCAGCUUUCUCAGUUUCUCUACGUCUCGGCUUCUUUCUCUCUCCUCCCUCUCCCGUUCUCUGGGUUUCUCAGAAUUGGUCACCUCUGCCCUGUUCCCUGGGCAAUGCCAAGCUCCGCAGUGCCCAGGAUGCAGGGGGAGGUGGAGAGCCGAGGGUGACAGGUCAGGCUUGGGGACUACAUGGUUGCAGGCUUUGCCAUUCCCUGGCUGACCGCCCUGAGCUUCCACCUUCUCAUCUGUAAAGUGGGGAUAACAGUCCUCACCUCAGAGGGCCGCUGUGGGGGUCAGGGCUGAGGAUGGUGCCUGGCACCAUUCAAGGCUUCUUCUGUUCCACACCCGGGCUCAGAGUUACUGCCACUGUCACCCACUCUGCCCAUUCCCAAACCUGGACGUGCCCGGGACUCCUGGGCAGCCCUGAGAAGGUUAGGUUCUCCCAGCUCGCUUCUGCCCAGUUGGCACCAUCAUGUUGUAUCUCUGCCAAGCUGUCAUCCGCCUCUGAUGUGUCAUGAUUGUUAACGGGGUGGGCUAACAGCCUGGGGCCUGGAGCCACCACACAGCUCUCCCAGCCUCCCAGCCCAUCUGUAAAAUAAAAACACGUUCUCCUUCACAGACAUGAUGUGAGAGCUCCUGUAAAGCCCUUGGCACAGGCUUCCAUGGGCAUCGGAGGCUCAACACAUGGGCCUGAGUGUGGAUGAACUCUGCCAGGGGCGGGGCACUCCUCCUAGCCCCCUUACCCCCCACCCCGACUGCUCACAGCGUUGGGAGGGGCUAUCAAGGCAGCCUGUUCUAGACGAUCUCCUGGCGUGUUGAAAUGCUUCAGUGCCCUGAGGAGUCCUCCCUCACCUCUGCCUGCUUGUCCUCUUUCGCCUUCCAGAAGCCUCCUCCACCUGCUCACACUGCUGACUUCUUCCUCUGGCCUCUUGCAGCAUGACUGGCGAAGCCCACACCUGGCACCUGUUUCCUGCUGGUCUGCUCGUUCUCACCUGGGGUGUUGCAAAGGCCUCCCAAGGGGUUGUCCCGCCCCUCCUCUGCCCUCUUCUUUCUCUAUUUUUAUCUGGAAGGAUUAAAAAAAGAGCAUUUUUUUUUUAAGUAGAAAUUGCUCAAAUCUGUAUAUAGCCUGGUGGAUUUCUUCAUGUGUUGACACUGGAUAAAUGCCUUAUUGAUCAAGAUACAGAACAAUUCGAACAGCCCGGCAGGUCCCCCUGUGCCCCUUUCCGGUCAAUAAUCUCCCCAGAGGUAACCAAUAAUCAGAUUGUAAUUCCCAAAGUUAAUUGGGCUCCAUUUAAUUGGAAGCACAGAGCAUGUAUUCAUUCCUCUAAGCCUUUCAUUCAGGACUGUCUAUGAGAUCACGCAUGCCAUUGCCUGUAUCGGUAAUCUGUCCCUUUUCAUUGCUGUGUAGUAUUUCAUCAAAUGACCAUCAAUUAUUUCUCCAUUCUACAGUAGACAGGCAUGGGAGUAGUUUUCAGUUUGGGGCUCUUUUGAAUAAAGCUGUGAUGAUUGUUUUUGUACAUGUCCUUGGACCUCACAGGCUUUCAUCUCUCUUGGCUAAAUACCCGUGAGUGGAAGGGCUAAAUCGCUGCAGGGAUCACACAGGUGUUUGGUUUCAGUAAAUACUGCCAAACAGUUUUCCAAGUGGGUGAACCACUUAACACGCCCACCAGCCACAUAUGAGUGUUCUGGCAGCUCCACAUUCUCGUCAUCACUGGGAGUUAUCAUUCCUUUUUAAUUUUAGCCCUUUUGGUGGGAGUAGAAUGGUAUCUCCUUGUGGUUUUAAUUUGCAUUUCCCUAAGGACUGAUGAGGUUGAAAGCUUUCCCCAUGCUUACCAGGCAGCUGGAGAUCAUCUUUUGUACAGAGCCUGUUAAAGUCUUUAGCCAGUGUCUUUUAUUGGGUUGUCUGUUUUCUUUCUUUCUUUCCUUCUCUUUCUUUCUUUCUUUCCUUCUCUUUCUUUCUUUCUUUCUUUCUUUCUUUCUUUCUUUCUUUCUUUCCUUCCUUCCUUCCUUCCUUCCUUCCUUCCUUCCUUCUUUCUUUCUUUCUUUCCUUUCUUUCUUUUCUUUUUUUUCUUUCUUUCUCUCUCUCUCUCCCUCUAUCUUUCCUUCCUUCCUUCUCUUCCUCCUCCCUCCCUCUCCCUCAUCCUCCUUCUUUCCCUCCCUCCCUCUUUCUCUCUUUCACUGGCUGCACCCAUGGCAUAUGGAAUUUCCUGGCCCAGGGAUGAAUCCGAGCCACAGGUGUGGCACUGGGGGAUCCUUUAACCCACUGCACCAGGUCAGGAUGGAACCCGUGCCUCUGUAGUGAUCAGAGCCACUAUAGCUGGAUUGUCAAUCCACUGUACCACAGCAGGAACUCCUUGCCUGUUUUUUUCCUUGAUUCAGAGAUUUUUUUUCUUUGUUCUUUUAAAACUACAUUCCAGAUCUGAUUCAUCUAUUGGAUAUAUGUAUAGGCUCUGGGCUUUUCUAUCUUCAUCACCUACCUUCCUGCCUUUUCAGAACCCCUGACUUUGCUUGAAUAGGCUGUGUGGUUUCCCACCUUUGAAGGUGAGGUGCCCUCUGCCAGGUGGAAUCUCCCCUGUCUCUUCUCUGCCUCACUAGAGUUUGCUUUUCAAGACUAACUCAGAGUUCCCACGUGGCUCAGCAGUAACAAACCCGACUAGUAUCCAUAAGGACAUGGGUUUGAUCCCUGGCCUCCCUCAGUGGAUUAAGGAUUCAGCGUUGCUGUGAGCUGUGGUAUAGGUAGAAAAUGCGGCUUGGAUCCUGUGUUGCUGUGGCUGUGGUGUAGGCUGGCAGCUAUAGCUCUGAUUCAACCCCCAGCCUGGGAACCUCCAUACGCCCCAGGUAUGGCUUUAAAAAAAGGCCAAAAAAAAAAAAAACAAACAAAAAAAA